GCCGCGCUUGUUGCCAUAGCGACCGUCUUACGUUAACUGGUUAGUAUUUUUCAUCCUGGCGGCCUGCUAACUGCGGGGGACCGGUCUCCCGCCAAUUUCUUUUGGCACCAAGCGGGCUCAAAGGUAACCUUAGCCUGCUCCCGGAUUCUGGCCUUGGGGUUCCGUUGUGCCCCGCCUGGCCGUCCGUGAUGGCUGCAGAAGAAGAAGAUGAAGUGGAAUGGGUGGUGGAGAGCAUCGCUGGCUUCCUACGAGGCCCAGACUGGUCCAUUCCCAUCUUGGACUUUGUGGAACAGAAAUGUGAAGUUUUUGAUGAUGAAGAAGAAAGCAAAUUAACCUAUACAGAGAUUCAUCAGGAAUACAAAGAACUAGUUGAAAAGCUAUUGGAAAGUUACCUCAAAGAAAUUGGAAUUAAUGAAGAUCAGUUUCAAGAAGCAUGCACUUCUCCUCUUGCUAAGACCCGCACAUCACAGGCAAUCUUGCAGCCUGUUUUGGCUGCUGAAGACUUUACUAUCUUUAAGGCAAUGAUGGUCCAGAAAAACAUUGAAAUGCAGCUUCAAGCCAUUCGAAUAAUUCAAGAGAGAAAUGGUGUGUUACCUGACUGCUUAACAGAUGGUUCUGAUGUGGUCAGUGACCUUGAACAGGAAGAAAUGAAAAUCCUGAGGGAAGUUCUUAGAAAAUCAAAAGAAGAGUAUGACCUGGAAGAAGAAAAGAAGAGAAAAAAUCAGUUGUCAGAGGCUAAAACAGAAGAGCCCCCAGUGCAUGCUGGUGAAGCUUCAAUAAUAAAUCGUUCUCAAAGAGAUGGUGAACAUUUUGAACACCCACCCUCAGAAAAUAAAAUUCAACUUGGGAAUCAGUCAAUACAACCUUUGACAAGAAAGCCCGAAUUAUUGCCUGAAACUUCCUCCCUGCCACAAAAAAGCCUGAAGACUCCUGGUUUAGAACAUGCAAACAUUGAAGGAUCAAUAGCAAACUUAUCUGCACUUGGAGCUGAAGAGCUCAGACAGCGAGAACAUUAUCUCAAGCAGAAGAGAGAUAAGUUGAUGUCCAUGAGAAAAGAAUUUAGAACUAAGCAAACACAAAAUUCAGAGCAGAAAGAUCAUGAAGGUGUUGUGGAGGUAUGAUUAGUCUUGUCAAAAUUUGCAAACUUAGAGGCAAAAUAAUUUAGGUAUGUAUAAGAAAGAAAUAACUUGAAAUUGUCAUAUUAACUUGUUAAGUAGAACUGCUUUUUUUUUUUUUUUGGAGGUAAUCAUUUUCACUAACUAUAUCCAUUUGGAAGUUUCUUUUCAAUCUAAAUCUUUUGAAAGCUUUUCCUAUAAAGCAGCAUCAGUAUCAUAGUUUACCACAUCUUCAAGAGGCUUCAUAUGUAGGAACUCAUUCUGAGGGCCUGAUAAUACAGAGGUAGGGCAUUUGCCUUGCGUGAGACUGACCAGGAAGGACCUGGGUUCGAUUCCCAGCAUUCCAUGUGGUCCCCAGAGCCAGUAGUGAUUUCUGAGUGCACAGAGCUAGGAGUA
RNA transcript from Suncus etruscus (white-toothed pygmy shrew), 1511 nucleotides. It is a transcript of the gene named cilia and flagella associated protein 36, with no coding region annotated. The transcript has 10 exons. The record is from RefSeq and is a predicted model, not a curated record. NCBI's taxonomy places the organism in Eukaryota, Metazoa, Chordata, Mammalia, Eulipotyphla, Soricidae.